UACCCUGUAGGUACGACCUUGCGUGUCCACAAAAAGGUUGCAAGGUUGUGACUACAGCGUACG
This 63-nucleotide microRNA precursor is filed under the name Petromyzon marinus (sea lamprey). Its description in RNAcentral is "Pma-Mir-10-P1o2_pre stem-loop". Lineage: Eukaryota; Metazoa; Chordata; Hyperoartia; Petromyzontiformes; Petromyzontidae. The record is from RNAcentral.